UUUGAACAUGUUAUAUGCUAAGAACUCCCAUCUGUAGUAAAUGGUGCUGAGGAGCUUGGAAUGGCGUUACCACAAGUUCUGAGCCCAGCUCUUAAGAUCACUGAGCCCCAUUCACCAACUAACAUCCUAGUAUCCUUACCUCAACAGCUGCCAGAACCUCCUCCCUUGGCUUUUCACAGUGUUUGCUGGCUUAUUCAGGAGAUUGGGGUUGAGUGCCUAGGGUAAAUACCUUAGAGAUACUGAGUGUAAUAUAGGCAAAGAAUUCCAGUUGUUGAUAUCUUUCUUGACAGCUGAUCAGCUAAACAACAGAGGUGAAUGCAAGGGGAGAUGAAGGAUUGGGUUGGAGCGCACAGGAGACAAGCCAAGAAACUCUUCAUCUGCAUAUACGAAGGUGACAAUAUAAGAUGCUGGAAAGUAUUCCCUGCACCUCCACUGUGCUGUGGGGUAGGAGGAUGGUGUCUGACACGGCAUGUACAGAGACAUGUUGAAUCUCACUCAUGUUUCACUUCACACAAUGCAAACAUCACAAGAAGGAAACUUAGCUGCCUGGCUCUGUACUUGUAUUACCUAUAAGAAAUUUGUGUAGUCUUAGACUCAGCACCAAACUCCAACUCAAAAGGGAGUUACAUCUUGUUACAUCUUGGGGGAUUCUCCUUCACCCUCUCAGGAGAAUAAAUGUUGAAAAUUCUUGGUGUUAUAUCUGUGU
RNAcentral lists this long non-coding RNA (706 nucleotides) under Coturnix japonica (Japanese quail). RNAcentral's name for it is "lncRNA (ENSCJPG00005020362.1)". Lineage: Eukaryota; Metazoa; Chordata; Aves; Galliformes; Phasianidae. The record is from RNAcentral.